GAUGGGAAAUAAAAAGACUAGUAUUUCUGAUAAGUAUAUUAGAAUGUAAUUCUGGUAUAUUAUAGACCAGAUUAUUUAGGGUAUCAAAUUCAUCUAAAAUAUGUCUCAUUUAUUUUCUUUUACAUAUUCUUAGCUAAGUCAUCUUAAAUGGUGCUUAAUCUUGAAAAUCCAAGCAUUUGUUCCAAAGACUGCCCUCAGAUUUCAGAAGUGAUGUUCUGUUACAUGAUAGUCCAAAAUGGAGAGAGUUGAAGGAAGUGUAAGCUCAGGGAAGGGAAGUCAGUUAGGACUAGUGUGUUCCAAAUCAAGCUUCCAGAUACUUAGUGGCCUUAAUUAAGAGAGCAUUCUCAGGAAUACAUCUGAGAUGAUUCUCACUUACAAAAAAGAAGUCCCCUCUCUCCAUUUCAGUCUGACUAGUUCAUCAUGCGUGUCCAUGGAACAUGCCCUGUAACAUCAAAGCAUGUUGAGUGCUGCCACUGAUUAUGCCUUCUUGUAGGUAGAGGGUUCAGGUAAGUCUGGAUCCUUUGGAGUAUGCACUGUCAUCUGAAGGGUUUGGCAUGGUUUAGGCUGUGGCUUCACUGGACUACGCUCCAGCUGUAUGGAAUAUAAAUAAAGCCCAGGCAGUGCUAACCUUUCUAGAAUUACUACCCUCGUAAGUCCCAAUAUAACAGAUGCAUUUUAGCAAGGCUAAAUAUAUUUCUUCUUUCUUGUACCAAAACAAAAA
This 721-nucleotide long non-coding RNA is filed under the name Rattus norvegicus (Norway rat). RNAcentral's name for it is "long non-coding RNA NONRATT022096". The record is from RNAcentral. Lineage: Eukaryota; Metazoa; Chordata; Mammalia; Rodentia; Muridae.